Molecule: ribosomal RNA, 554 nt
Filed under: uncultured bacterium
Lineage: Bacteria
Description: partial 16S ribosomal RNA
Rfam family: Bacterial small subunit ribosomal RNA
Source: RNAcentral
UAGGGAAUCUUCCACAAUGGACGCAAGUCUGAUGGAGCAACGCCGCGUGAGUGAAGAAGGUCUUCGGAUCGUAAAGCUCUGUUGUUGGUGAAGAAGGAUAGAGGCAGUAACUGGUCUUUAUUUGACGGUAAUCAACCAGAAAGUCACGGCUAACUACGUGCCAGCAGCCGCGGUAAUACGUAGGUGGCAAGCGUUGCCCGGAUUUAUUGGGCGUAAAGCGAGCGCAGGCGGAAUGAUAAGUCUGAUGUGAAAGCCCACGGCUCAACCGUGGAACUGCAUCGGAAACUGUCAUUCUUGAGUGCAGAAGAGGAGAGUGGAACUCCAUGUGUAGCGGUGGAAUGCGUAGAUAUAUGGAAGAACACCAGUGGCGAAGGCGGCUCUCUGGUCUGCAACUGACGCUGAGGCUCGAAAGCAUGGGUAGCGAACAGGAUUAGAUACCCUGGUAGUCCAUGCCGUAAACGAUGAGCGCUAGGUGUUGGGGACUUUCCGGUUCUCAGUGCCGCAGCAAACGCAUUAAGCGCUCCGCCUGGGGAGUACGACCGCAAGGUUGAAAC